AAAGAAACCAAUUAUCAAUGUGUUAAGAUUAGUUAAUUGUGUUCGAGCAUCAAUGCCACUUUAUACUACGUAAAGUCAACGACCUAGAAGAUGUCGAAAGAGCAAGUUGAUGGACUCAACAAGCCCUGUGCUUACAAGUUGUUUAAAAGUGGGGAAUGUCGGUAAAAUCAGUGGUAUGUGCAAAAGACACUCAGUGCGGAUGUUGUGGCGCAGUACACUACAGUGUUGAAAUGGAAAGAUGGCAAACGUGAGCAAGGACAGAUGGAGGAGCUUUCAAAAAAAGAAAAAUUUACAAAGUAAAUUAGAAAGUCAUAAAACAACUCCGAGAAUAAAAUUAUCGGUAGAAUUACAAUAGGGAAAGGGGAAGCAUUGCAUAGAAUGGCGGUGUAUUGGUUCGAAAAGUGCGUGCUCUAAAGGAAUGCGAUUUAAAAAAAGUAGUACAGUAUUAGUUGUUUUAGGUAAAGACGAGGGAAUUGGAAUAAAUUUUUUUGAUGCAGGCU
This is a non-coding RNA of Schizosaccharomyces pombe (fission yeast), 500 nucleotides long. NCBI's taxonomy places the organism in Eukaryota, Fungi, Ascomycota, Schizosaccharomycetes, Schizosaccharomycetales, Schizosaccharomycetaceae. The record is from the annotation of a GenBank genome assembly.